AGCAGCCGCGGUAAUUCCAGCUCCAAUAGCGUAUAUUAAAGUUGUUGCAGUUAAAAAGCUCGUAGUUGAAUUUCGGGGUUCUACCGUUGGUCAGGCUAUUGUCUGUACUGGCGUGUAGAAUUUCUACCUUCUGGGGAACUAUCAUGUUAUUAAUUUAGCGUGGUAGGAAACCAGGACCUUUACCUUGAAAAAAUUAGAGUGUUCAAAGCAGGCUUAUGUCUGAAUACAUUAGCAUGGAAUAAUAAAAUAGGACGGUGGUCCUGUUUUGUUGGUUUCUGAAUCACCGUAAUGAUUAAUAGGGAUAGUUGGGGGCAUUAGUAUUCAAUUGUCAGAGGUGAAAUUCUUGGAUUUAUUGAAGACUAACUACUGCGAAAGCAUUUGCCAAGGAUGUUUUCAUUAAUCAAGAACGAAAGUUAGGGGAUCGAAGACGAUCAGAUACCGUCGUAGUCUUAACCAUAAACUAUGCCGACUAGGGAUCGGACGAUGUUAACUUUCUUGACUCGUUCGGCGCCUUACGGGA
RNAcentral lists this ribosomal RNA (520 nucleotides) under uncultured Glomeromycotina. RNAcentral describes it as "SSU rRNA". It matches the Rfam family "Eukaryotic small subunit ribosomal RNA", at positions 569 to 1095 of the family's 1831-position model. Lineage: Eukaryota; Fungi; Glomeromycota. The record is from RNAcentral.